Molecule: ribosomal RNA, 228 nt
Filed under: uncultured bacterium
Lineage: Bacteria
Description: partial 16S ribosomal RNA
Rfam family: Bacterial small subunit ribosomal RNA
Source: RNAcentral
UACAGAGGUCUCAAGCGUUGUUCGGAUUCAUUGGGCGUAAAGGGUGCGUAGGUGGCGCGCUAAGUCAGGUGUGAAAUUUCGGAGCUUAACUCCGAAACUGCAUUUGAUACUGGCGUGCUUGAGGACUGGAGAGGAGACUGGAAUUCACGGUGUAGCAGUGAAAUGCGUAGAUAUCGUGAGGAGACCAGUGGCGAAGGCGGGUCUCUGGACAAUUCCUGACACUGAGGC